GCCCAGAGCUCUCCAUUGGGCGUCGUUCCCGGGGUCCCGCGCGCCGGCCGUGCUGAUUGGCCGCUGGGGCUUCAUUCACGGCCCCUCUAUCGUCCGCGUACACACUCACGCCCCGGGGGCGCGGCCGCCACGUGGGGAGUGGCGCGGGGGUGGCCCUGGGACCGCACCCCCUCUCGUCCUGGCUGUGUGGGCCCAGCUUUCCCCCAGCGCUGGAGACUUCGAGCCCGGCCGGUCCCACAUUCCACGCAAGUUGAAUUUCCGCCCGCAUCCCGCCCGGGCAGCCGGGAUCGCGGGCUCCGGGAGGCGCUCGGGCUCCGAGAAGCGGCUCAGCCCCGCGCCCCUCCCACCGCAGUACCGCUGCCGGCGGACCAGGAUUCCCGCGGGUCCUGGCGGCUGCGAGCGGGAGGCGGCGCGGUUUCCCGGCUCGGUUCCGGCGCGACUGCUCACCGCGCCCGCCCGCCUCUCCUCCCGCGGCUGCCAGCGCGCACCGGGCGCUCCUCGGCGCGUCUGCCUGGCCCGUCUCGGCUUUCCUUCUCCUCCCUAUAGUUCCAGCGUCGCAACUCCGCCAACCUCUGCUGUCCUGAUAGCGCGUCCGGCGCGGGCAGAGUCGGACGGACUCGGGCUUCACGCCUCGCGCGGGCACCCCUUCUCCCGGGCGCUGUGGCCCAGAAAAGAAGCUCCACGAGGGACAGGAAUAUCUGCGAGUAUAGCUCCCUGAUGUUUUCCAAGUGCCUGGAACAGUUUUGGCCCAUAGUAGGCUCUCCAUAUAUAUUUGCUGAAUGAAUGAAUGAACCUGCUCAUUUCUCAAUGUACUGCUUGUGUCUGCCAUCAACGUUACUGGAAUCUCAAUCCCAGUUUUGCCACCAAUCAGCUGUGCAAACUAUGGGCAAGUUUUCUAACUUUUUGGAGCCUCUGCUUCUUCAUCAGUAAAAUGGAAUAAGAGAAGUACCCAUCUCACAGGGUUUUAGGAGGAUGAGGUGAGCUCAUGCUUGUAAAGCACCUUGCAGGUGCUUGGGACAAAGCUGGUAGUCACUGAAUGUUAACUUGUUAAUGUUGCUAACCUUGGGCUCUCCUUAUCAGCCUUGAAGACAAAGCCAAGACUUCAGCUGGGAAAUGUUGACCUUGUAAGUGUACAGGGAUAGGUGGUGUACAGAAGUCUGAUCUGCAGAGGUCAUUAUUGGUUAAUGAGGAUAGAGAUCUGCUUUCAAGCCUCUGGCUAGAAUCCUUGCCUUGGGACAGCUCAACGUGUACCUGUGAGUGUACAUGGGUCUGCACAUAUGAUUGAAUAGAGCUAAUGUGAGCUACAUUCAAAGCUGUGCAUUCCUAAAAGAUAAUUGGUCCUAGGUAGUAGGCCCAUAUAGGAAGUCAGCCAUUAGCAUGGUCAAAAGAGUCAUCUUUCCUUCCUAUCUUCUGCUCGCUCUUAACCUCCUGCACGGGCUUCUUCCCCAUCGCUCCUCUGAAUGAACUCACUUCCCAAUAUCCAGUGACUUCUUUAUGGUCAAAUCCAGUGGUUGCUUACUUGACCUCAGCAACAAUACUGAUCACCACUCUCCAUCUUUACGUCCCGAAUUUGGGCACAAUGACUACCAUGGUAUGUCUCCCCAGCUUUCCUGCAAAGGGACUCAUCAAGGCACUGUGUUCUUCUAGUCAAUGAAAACAUCUGUGGCCAACAACAGUGUGAGUCUCUUCCCAAGAACUGCCUUUGGCCAAAUGGAACUGCCUCUCCCAAGUGUUAUGCCACCUCUCAAGAGUUAUACCGUUUCCCAAAGGUCACAACAUCUCCCUGGAGGUAGUUCAAAUUCAAUAACUAACUGGUAACUCUUGUUUCAUUUUGGGAAAUCUUUAAAGGGGCAUAGUUGCUCUAGCACUUCCCACCAGCCCUUGGUCAGCCCACAUUUACCUCUGUUGGCAAUACACCAGAGUUCAACCUCUCUCUCUGGCUCGCCUGGCUUCCCUUCCUCUUCACUAGUGUCAUGCCCGAAAUCUCUCCAAUAAGUCCUCUGCAUGCAAAUCUCCAUCUUUGAUCUAUUUCUAGGGAACCUGACCUACUACUACAGUUGGUGCUAGAAGUGGUUCCUAGGAAACAGACUCUAAAAUGGGAUUUUGGAGCUGGAUCAUCCACCGGCCAGUUGGUAAUAAGAACCUCAUCACUGGUGGUGGGUGGAGGUACCGAUAGCCCCUGGCAUGCUCUAGGGUGCAAUUGUUAAACUUUCCCUGAUGCGGAAGUGGGAUGGGAUACUGGCGAAAGGGAAAGUACUAAUGGGUGUAAUCUCUCAGACAGUAGAGAGGCUCAGAGGAGUGAUAAUUAUAAAGUCUACGGAAUUAAAUGAUUGUUGCUGGGGGCAAGCAAGGCAUUGGAAAGACAAUGAAAUGCUGAGAGUGAUUAAUCACCAAUUUAAGGUGAAGUGUGAAAGCUGAAGGGCCUCCUUGCUGUCAGAUAAAGUGACUGUCUCCCAAAGCUGGAAGGCAGAAAAAACUGAGGUUUGGCCCAGGAAUGAAUUGUAAGGACAGCAGAUUUCCAAAGAAAAUUGAAUUCUUGACAUAGCAAGUCAGCUCUGUUUGAUUGAUCAGGGCUUGACUGGGGGCUCUGACACUUAGGACAGGGACAUCUGGGUGGAUUCCCUUGAAUGCCUUGAAGCUCUAGGUCACCCUGAGCCCUCUGAGGCCAUGGAAUGUCCUGUGAAAGGCUUGAGCUUCCCUGGUGUGAUGGUUAAUACUGAGUGUCAACUUGAUUGGAUUGAAGGAUACAAAGUAUUGAUCCUGGGUGUGCUUGUGAGGGUGUUGCCAAAGAAGAUUAACAUUUGAGUCAGUGGGAAAGGCAGACCCACCCGUAACUGGGUGGGCACCAUCUAACCAGCUGCCAGCAAAUAUAAAGCAGGCAGAAAAAUGUGACAAGGAGAGACUGGCCUAGCCUCCUAGCCUCUGUCUUUCUCCCGUGCUGGAUGCUUCCUGCCCUAGAACACUGGACUCCAAGUUCUUCAGUUUUGGGAUUCAGACUGGUUCUCCUUGCUCCUCAGCUUGCAGCCAGAUUAUUAUGGGACCUUGUGACGCUGUAAGUUAACACUUAAUUAACUUCUAUAUAUCUAUCUCCUAUUGGUUCUGUCCCUCUAGAGAACCCUGACUAAUGCAGAUUUUGGUACCAGAAGGAGUUCUAGAGGAACAAAAUAUUAAGGAUGGAGUUCUUUCAUUGGUUUUGGGGUUUCUGGAGUUGGCUGGUUAAUAAGAUUCAACCCCAAAUGCUGACGACUCUACUUCUAAUCAUAUGGAGAACACUGAUAGUCCUUGGUGUGAACUGUUUAGAGGGCUAUGUAAAAUAAAUGCAUUUGACACUCCUCAUUUGCCACCUGUGAGAGGCAAGGAGCUCAGUGACUCUACACACAAUACCUUUCACCAUAUGUGCAGAACCAAAGAACAUAAUGAAGCUGGUUGGUUGCUCCUAAGUUCAGUAGACAAAGUUAUGAAAGAAAAUAGUGAACUCAGGAAUUCUGUCUCCUGGCUUCAAAAGCAGAUACUGAGCCUCAAAUCUGCUAAGGUUGACCUGAGUGAGAGUCUUAUCUCCUGUAGGGAAAGAGCUGAAAUUUUGGAAAAACAGACACAAGCUCUUAUCAUGUGAGUGGCUCACCUGCAAUGAAAGAUGCAUGCACAGCCUCUCCAGAUGUCUACUGUUGAAGCGAGGGCAUUGAUUGGAAGAGAAUGGGACCCUGCAACUUGGAAUGGGGAUGUGUGGGAGAACCUGAUGAAGCCGGAGACACUGAGUUUGUAAACUCCGAUGAACCCUUUCAGCCAGAAGGAACAGCUUCACCACCUCCAGUAGUGGCCACAUCCCCGCCCGGACCCACUGCCAUCAGCCUUUCCACCUUUGCCUGAGGAGAUAAACCCUGUGCUGCCUGAGGCAACAGGGAUGGCCUCCCCUGAGGGAGUUAUUUUGCCCCUGAGGCAAAAUAAUGUUGAUUCUCCUCAGGGGCCACCCCCAACACCCCUGUUUGCUUCUAGACCUAUAACUAAAGUCCCAGCGGGCCCCUGGAGGUGAGGUUGAGAGUGUGACCCAUAAGGAGGGGCACUACACUAGAAAAGAACUGUUUGAGUUCUCUAAUUUAUAUAAACAGCAAUCUGGAGAACAGGCAUGGGAAUGGAUGUUAAGGGUAUGUGAUAAUGGUGGAAGAAACAGAGUUGGAUCAGGCUGAAUUUAUUGAUCCGGGCCCACUAGGCAGGGACUCUGCAUUUAAUGUUGCAGCUUAACCAUAUUUGCUUGGUUAACUGAAAUAUGGAUUAAAAAAGAUGUCCCACUGUAAAGGAGCUGGAAAUGCCUGAUCUUCCUUGGUUUAAUGUAGAGGAAGGGAUCCAAAGGCUUAGAGAGAUUAGGAUGGUGGAGUGGAUUAGUCAUUUUAAACCUAUUCAUCCCAGCUGGGAGAGUCCAGAAGACACACUCUUGACCAAUGCCUUGUGAAAUAGAUUCGUGAGGGCAUCACCUGCAUCUUUGAAGAGCCCUGUAAUUACUCUUAUUUACAUGUGAGAUCUAAUGGUAGGAACCACAGUCAUUCAACUAAAAAAUUUAAAUUCAAUGGGAAUAAUUGGAUCCUCUGGUGGCAGGGGCCAAGUGGCAGUGCUCAACCGUCAAAGGCAAGGUGGCUGUAGCUACCACACUGGGCAGCAGAGGCAAAGCAACAGUCAGAGUGGUCUAAAGAAUCAUGGCCCCUCAAUCAAUUUACUGACUUGAAACCCAGAAAUAAAGGGGAGGGAGACCCAGAAGCUCUUAAAUAAAGGGGAGGCAGGGUCCUCUUGAGGAAGGACCCCACUACAUUACUGACAAUGUAUGCAGUGAAUCUUUCUCCCAUCCUUCCCCAAGGAGACCUCCAGCCUAUUAUCAGGGUAACUGUGCAUUGGGGAAAGGGAAAUGAUCAGACAUUUCAGGGACUACAGGACACUGACUCUGAGCUGAUGUUAGUUCCAGGGGACCCAAAACGUCACUGUGGUCCUCCAGUUAAAGUAGGGGCUUAUGGAGGUCAGGUAAUUAAUGGAGUUUUAGCUCAGGUCCAACUUACAGUGGGUCCAGUGGAUCCCCAGACUCAUCCUGUGGUCAUUUCCCCAGUGCCAGAAUGCAUAAUUGGCAUAGAUAUUCUUAGCAGCUGGUAGACUUCCUGACUGGUAGGGUGAGGACUAUUAUGAUGGGAAAGGUCAAAUGGAAGCCAUUAGAGCUGCCUCUACUUAGAAAAAUAGUAAGUUAAAAAAAAACAAUAUUGCAUCCUUGGAGGGAUUGCAGAGAUUAGUGCCACCAUCAAAGACUUGAAAGACACAGGGGCGGGGAUUCCCUACACAUGCCCAUUCAAUUCUUCCAUUUGACCUGUGCAGA
RNAcentral lists this long non-coding RNA (5350 nucleotides) under Callithrix jacchus (white-tufted-ear marmoset). Its description in RNAcentral is "lncRNA (ENSCJAG00000083165.1)". Lineage: Eukaryota; Metazoa; Chordata; Mammalia; Primates; Cebidae. The record is from RNAcentral.